UACGUAGGGGGCAAGCGUUGUCCGGAAUUACUGGGCGUAAAGCGUGCGCAGGCGGUUCGUUAAGUUCGUUGUGAAAGCCCCGGGCUCAACCCUCGAAUGCCGGUGGAUACUGUCGGGCUAGAGUGCGGAAGAGGCGAGUGGAAUUCCUGGUGUAGCGGUGAAAUGCGCAGAUAUCAGGAGGAACACCAAUUGCGAAGGCAGCUCGCUGGGACGUAACUGACGCUGAGACGCGAAAGCGUGGGGAGCAAACAGG
RNAcentral lists this ribosomal RNA (253 nucleotides) under uncultured bacterium. RNAcentral's name for it is "partial 16S ribosomal RNA". It matches the Rfam family "Bacterial small subunit ribosomal RNA", at positions 524 to 776 of the family's 1533-position model. The record is from RNAcentral.